UGCGCACACGGAGCUCCCGGUCCCCGCCCCCGCCGGCGACCCCGGAUCAGGGGGUCGCGACCCUUGGGCUGAUUCCCUCGGCGGGCAGCCUCCGGGGAGCAGCCUGCCUCUGCUGGACUACUUUCCUCCUGAGACAGCUCUUCUUAAAGACAUUGCUUUGUGUUGAGUAGAAACGCGUUUCCACCAGGCAUUCACCCUUUGGUUCCACUGUCCGGUGCUCAAGAGAAUAAAUCUAAACCCUCUUCUCCAGGGCAAGCCAACAGUCCUUCAAGUACAGGUCGCUUCAAAUGCUUACCAAGACAGCUCAUUUAUUUAUUUGACACAUGUUCAUUGAGUGCCUCCUAUGUGCUGGUUGCUGUUCUGGGCUCUGAGGUUAUAACAGGGCAUCAUUGGCCUCUUGGUAGGAAUAGCAAGAUCUCCAGGGUGUGCACACCUCUGGGCACCUCUGGAUUUUCAUCAUACUCAGGU
This is a non-coding RNA of Vicugna pacos (alpaca), 468 nucleotides long. The record is from RefSeq and is a predicted model, not a curated record. NCBI's taxonomy places the organism in Eukaryota, Metazoa, Chordata, Mammalia, Artiodactyla, Camelidae.